RNAcentral lists this long non-coding RNA (223 nucleotides) under Elaeis guineensis (African oil palm). RNAcentral's name for it is "long non-coding RNA (EGUI_LNC011041)". Lineage: Eukaryota; Viridiplantae; Streptophyta; Magnoliopsida; Arecales; Arecaceae. The record is from RNAcentral.
UCAUGCAAAGGCUUGAAAGAUAACAUCAAUGGUCUCUUAGUUUGAGUGUCCUCCCAUUGGAGGAUCUAGAUCACAUCGUGAACAUAUAUAGUUAACAUUCUACUACUUUCCCGAGCCCUCAUAUUCCUGAUGCUCGAGUGCCAAUAUGGCCAAUCUACCUUUUGGACAUUCAAUUCUCAAAGUGCAAAUUUAAAUAUGUGAUUGGGAAUCCUCUUAAAUGACC